Molecule: long non-coding RNA, 586 nt
Organism: Poecilia latipinna (sailfin molly)
Lineage: Eukaryota; Metazoa; Chordata; Actinopteri; Cyprinodontiformes; Poeciliidae
Exons: 3
Source: RefSeq, a predicted model, not a curated record
GCGGCCAUUUUCAUUUAGCUCAUGCUAGUAGCAACACAAAAGAGAUUUUUCUCUUCAAACUCAUAAUCAGUUCAGUUAAAUCUAAACUUGGCAACUUUUUCUUUUUCAACCGUAAUAAAUGAUAUUCAAUUGACCUGUUAUAACUCAGAUGGUGGCUGUCCGCCCCUCUGCUGCUGCUGCAUCGCUGUGGAAAACCUGGAGAUAUCUGCGGCUUAUAGUCAGGAAAAUACAGUAUGUUUGUACACCAUGUGGACAAAAGUAAGUCCUCAUAACUAUCAAAACACACACACACACACACACACACACGCACGCCAUUGUUUCUGGAAGGAAGGCCUCUUCCUGCCUUUAUCCUGAACCACAGUUUCUGUGUUUUUCCAGAGGAUACGUUGAGAUCAGAGAGCAGCUCCACGUCAGACUCAGCAGGAAACGACAACGACAACGGUGGGUCUCAGUGUCGCCCCCUGCUGGUUUCUGCUGGGUCUCCUGUGGAGGUUUUCAACCAGAACAAAACCAAGAAGUCGUCGGUGCUCAGCAGGACUGAACACCGUGAGAACAACAAGCCCCCUCCUCUGCCCCCCUCACAGCC